CCAGGAGGUUCCCUGAAUCUUUCUUCCCUUUCCUCCCUGCUUUUCUUGCGUUUCCUUUUCCUGAUGUGCCCUCUCAGGCUUGGCUGGUUUUGAAUUAGUGAGUCCACACAGCUCUCAGCUGUGUGGUUCCCUGUUUGAAAAGAAAGGCCUGCAGGUGUUGUUCGGUGGGUGCGUGGGUGUCUCGAGGCUGAGACCGAGGAUGUGCUGAGGGUCAGUAAGAAGUGGGUAGAAAGAGAUCCAGAUAUCGCCGCCGGGGGAAGAAGACAGGGCUGAGCAGCCUGGAGGAGUCAACAGAGGCUGAGCCCAGAGGCAAGUGAGAGCCUGGGAGGCUGUCAGCAAAACCUUUUCCGGGAACAGGGACGAUGAAUCCAUCAGGCUUCUAGUGUUAGAGGCCUUCCCCAUACCCAGGCCAGCCUCUCUGCAUGUUUGUUCUUUUCGUGACUUGGAGGGCAGUAGUUGGAACAUUCGAGAUGGACCAGGGCGAGUUUUCUGAUCACAGAUUAUUCCAGAAGCCACAGAUUGUUCCAGAGUGGAUAGGAGCAAUUCCAUAACAUUAUGUAAGGUAUGAAUUGGUCUUAGGGUUAUUUUUCUUUCUUUUCUUUUUUAAAUUUUUUAAUGUUUAUUUUUGAGAGAGAGACAGAGCAUGAUUGAGGGAGGGGC
Acinonyx jubatus (cheetah) is the source of this 660-nucleotide long non-coding RNA. RefSeq lists it as uncharacterized. NCBI's taxonomy places the organism in Eukaryota, Metazoa, Chordata, Mammalia, Carnivora, Felidae. The transcript has 3 exons. The record is from RefSeq and is a predicted model, not a curated record.